CAAGAGCGUAUAUUAAAGUUGCUGCGGUUAAAAAGCUCGUAGUUGGAUUUCAGUCUAGGAAGGUUAACUCGCCGAAAGGUUGUACGUUGAUUUUCCUCAGACUUCGUCAGAAGCUCGUGCUGCACUUAACUGUGUGGUACGAUGUUCUGACCUUUUACCUUGAGGAAAGUAGAGUGUUUCAGGCAGGCUACCCAGCUUGAAUACAUUGGCAUGGAAUAAUGAAAUGGAUCUCGGUUCGAUUUCGUUGGUUCUAGAGCUGAGGUGAUGAUCAAUAGGAACAGGCGAAGGUAUUCGUACUUGAGAGUGAGGAGUGAAAUCCGAUGAUCUCUUAAAGACGAUCCGAGGCGAAAGCAUUUGUCAAGGAUGUUUUCAUUGA
This 376-nucleotide ribosomal RNA is filed under the name uncultured eukaryote. Its description in RNAcentral is "partial 18S ribosomal RNA". It matches the Rfam family "Eukaryotic small subunit ribosomal RNA", at positions 592 to 976 of the family's 1831-position model. The record is from RNAcentral.